Molecule: ribosomal RNA, 254 nt
Filed under: uncultured bacterium
Lineage: Bacteria
Description: partial 16S ribosomal RNA
Rfam family: Bacterial small subunit ribosomal RNA
Source: RNAcentral
UUUUGCCUACGGGACGCAGCAGUGGGGAAUAUUGGGCAAUGGGCGCAAGCCUGACCCAGCAACGCCGCGUGAAGGAAGAAGGCUUUCGGGUUGUACACUUCUUUUAUUCGGGACGAAGAAAGUGACGGUACCGAAUGAAUAAGCCACGGCUAACUACGUGCCAGCAGCCGCGGUAAUACGUAGGUGGCAAGCGUUAUCCGGAUUUAUUGGGUGUAAAUGGCGUGAAGGCGGGAAUGCAAGGCAGAUGUGAAAAC